RNAcentral lists this ribosomal RNA (253 nucleotides) under uncultured bacterium. Its description in RNAcentral is "partial 16S ribosomal RNA". It matches the Rfam family "Bacterial small subunit ribosomal RNA", at positions 524 to 776 of the family's 1533-position model. The record is from RNAcentral.
UACGGAGGGUGCAAGCGUUAUCCGGAAUCAUUGGGUUUAAAGGGUCCGCAGGCGGGCUUAUAAGUCAGUGGUGAAAUCUCACAGCUCAACUGUGAAACUGCCAUUGAAACUGUAAGUCUUGAAUUCGGUCGAAGUGGGCGGAAUAUGACAUGUAGCGGUGAAAUGCUUAGAUAUGUCCUAGAACACCAAUAGCGAAGGCAGCUCACUAGGCCUGGAUUGACGCUCAGGGACGAAAGCGUGGGGAGCGAACAGG